GAUGAACGCUAGCUACAUGCUUAACACAUGCAAGUCGCGGGGCAGCAUGGGGGUUGCUUGCAAUCCCUGAUGGCGACCGGCGCACGGGUGAGUAACGCUUAUCCAACCUGCCCUUCACCACGGCAUAACCCGGCGAAAGUCGGACUAAUACCGUAUGUUGUCCAUUGACGGCAUCCGGUUUGGUCGGAAAGCUUAGCGGUUAGGGGUGGGGAUGCGUACCAUUAGCUUGACGGCCGGGUAACGGACCACGGUGGCUACGAUCGGUAGGGGUUCUGAGAGGAAGGUCCGCCACACUGGAACUGAGACACGGUCCAGACUCCUACGGGAGGCAGCAGUGAGGAAGAUUGGUCAAUGGGCGUAAGCCUGAACCAGCCAAGUAGCGUGCAGGAUGACGGCCCUAUGGGUUGUAAACUGCUUUUAUGCGGGGAUAAAGGGACCCACGUGUGGGUUUUUGCAGGUACCGCAUGAAUCAGGACCGGCUAAUUCCGUG
RNAcentral lists this ribosomal RNA (490 nucleotides) under uncultured bacterium. RNAcentral describes it as "partial 16S ribosomal RNA". It matches the Rfam family "Bacterial small subunit ribosomal RNA", at positions 28 to 507 of the family's 1533-position model. The record is from RNAcentral.